CGACCAACCAUCCCCCAUUCCACAUCCCAACGGCGCCCCGUUGACCAGGUCCACUCCCAAAUCCAACGACAGCGCCUGUUCUCUUGUUCCUCCCAUCGUCCAAUUGCAGCCACCUCUCCCAAAUCCACCGCCCCAUGAGCCCAAUCCGUGACUUCCUUGUCGAUUCCCCCACAGAUCCGCGGGCUCGCUGCAAAAGGCAGCUUUUUUUUUUGUGGCCUCCAUCCAUCCGUGCUUGGAGUGCUGCAAGCUGCGGGCCGGCCGACGGCUAUGGCAGGCAUCGGUGCGCCGGCCACAUCAGCCGCGUGGAGCAGGAGGCGGAGGCAAGGGCCAUGCGAUCGAAAGCGAUGGCCGCCGCCGCCCUGUUCGACGGCGUCUCCGUCCCCGUCGCAUCGGUGGUCACCUCGGUGGGGUGGCGGCGCUAUGGAGGUCAGUGGAGUUGGCUGCGGCGAGGUGGCCCUUGUAAUGCAGGUGUCAUGUCAUUAGGAUUUAGAGGCAAAAGAAAAGGAGGAGAAAAGUCUCAAAGCAAAGCAAAAGGAGGAGAUUGGACUGUUCGAUGAAAUGCUUGGUGUUGCAAUGACAAUGCAGCAACAAUUGCACAACAGCACAAGCAUAUCAACUACGAUGCAUUCUAUUGUAAGCUGUAGCCUAUCUACCUCUCAAUGAUCUUUGUCUUUCCCAAAUGGAAAUCCUUCUUAUGUAUAUGGAAAAGGUUGGUUCUUCAUAUGAGUUGCAUGAAAGCCUUGAUGGAUAAUCAAGGUAUGCUGUUGAGUUGAGAUUGCUAAUCAAGGUAUGCAUUCUGCUUAAACAACAGUUUGGAUACUUCAGCAGUUUUGAGUAUUGUACAAGGUUCCUAGAUAUCCCAAUUCUGAUUGUCGAAAGCAUUAACAUGCCCGGGUGUAGUGCGUGUGGAGGUGCUAAUGGUGAACUGUGGCUUAAUUAGGCCUAGAACUGCAGCUUUACUCUGGUUUUGAAAACCAUCCAAAUUCCUUAUAUAUAUGAUAAGUUUCUUUACCCAUAGACUGCAGCUUUCAACAAAUUGAUUACUUGUAGUUGGUAUUAGUUUUAAAACUGGCUCUUCAGAUAUACAAAGGGCCAGAUGUUCAAUUAUCGGUUGAUUACUCAUGGGCCUUAUUAAUAGAGUUGCUUAUGUUCUCUUAAAAUAGGCAGUACAGGAAGGGGAAUGAACAGUACUUAAAAUCAGUGCUAAUGUAAUGUGGUCCUAAUUUUUGUAACCAUGGUCCAUCAAGAAGGAUGAAGGCAUUCAUUUUUAUUUGAUGACUUCAGGAAUAUAUUGUUCUGGGUGACGUAAUACACGAUUAUUACCAACUUUUAUUCAAUUAGAUGGUAUGUGGUUUCAAUGCCGGCCAGCCAGGGCCAUGAAAAUGAACUUACAUACUUCCUCCGUUUGGAAAUAGUAGGCAUAUUUUUUUUGGGUUCGGUCUUCGAAGUUGGAUUUUGAGUAAGGUUUUCUCACAAAAUAUAUCAUUUAUAGCUACAAAACCUAUAUAGCGUGAAAUCAUUUUGAAUUGUAAACCUAGUUGUAUAAUUUUUAUAUACUAGACAUUCCUAUAAUUUGAUUAAAUGUUAGCAAAGUACAUAAAGUUUGACUUCUCCAAAAUAAAAUGCGCCUACUAUUUUUGAACGGAGGGAGUACUAUUUAAGCUUCAUUAUAUGUAUUGCAAUUUAGACAUUUAGUUGAUGUUAUUCUGAAUAUCUGAUGUAGCAGGUUCGAUUGUAGUCUCCCAGCUUGAGCAGCGGGUUCGAUUUGUAGUCCGUAGGUACUGUGUGUGAUCAGAGCUCGGAUCCUAGGUGAUUGGUGAGGUCAUCUGUGGUGGUGCGGGCAUGGAGCCCCUAAACUGCUCGCAUCUUCUCUUCUCCCCCGAGUUGAGUUGCUGCAGAUUCGUCAAGUUGUUGGGUUUUGGAGUUGUCUCGCGGAGACGCGAGUUGGCUCUUGUUGCCAAUCUGCAGAAUGCCAGCCUGUAGAGUCUACACGCCACAGCGAAUGCUGGCGCUCAGGGCAGUUGAGCAUCGCAAAAUUGGAUUAUACCAUAGUUUCAGUUGGGACUUGGGGUAACAUAAUGCAGAGCCCAUGGUGUGGAAUUGAGGUGUUUCAUCAGAUCGAACUGAUGGCUUAUGUGCAGGCCAUGGAUGUAUGGAGGCAACAUUGACUUUUCGCAUGGCCCAGUGUUUUUGUUGCAGAUACACAUUUGCGAGGCAGCUAUGGGACUGGAUCAAGCUCCAUUGACGACGCCUGACCAUCUGUGCUGCUGGCUUGCCUGCUGCUGCAGCAACAUUGUGCUGCCUUGUGGUGAUGAUCGAGGAGGGUGAGGAAUUACAGCGUCCAUCAGCUCGCUCCCCUCUGCGACACCCUUAAAGAGGUUGCAUCUGCCAUACGCGCCACUGUUCCAGCCAAACCGCACCCCGACCUGUACCCCAUUGUGAUGGGAGUCUCAGGCUUCACCGAGGAGCAGCUCAUCAUCGCGCUCAUGUACCUUGUUGAGGGUCGAGGCCAUGGGGUUGUGUUCCUGGGGAUGUUCGAACUGCAUCACGCGCUGUGGAUCAGUCAGAUCCUUGCCCAGCAGUAGCUCACAGAGGUGGGCUUAGGUGGUCAGUAGCUAGCAGGCAGCUGACAAUUGCAACUACCAUUUUCUUUUGGCAAUGUAGUUAAGAUCAGCUAUAUAAUGUAGGAGUUUGGUCAGCUUCGUCCCACCCCCUCCCCCACUUAUCUAUUAAUUUUCUUUAAGAUCUUAUUGGCUUGCAAAAUGGAUCGCAAGCUUGUGGUA
Molecule: RNA transcript, 2783 nt
Organism: Phragmites australis (common reed)
Lineage: Eukaryota; Viridiplantae; Streptophyta; Magnoliopsida; Poales; Poaceae
Exons: 4
Source: RefSeq, a predicted model, not a curated record